This 76-nucleotide transfer RNA is filed under the name Ignavibacteria bacterium. RNAcentral describes it as "tRNA-His". It matches the Rfam family "tRNA". Rfam says of the family: Transfer RNA (tRNA) molecules are approximately 80 nucleotides in length. Their secondary structure includes four short double-helical elements and three loops (D, anti-codon, and T loops). Lineage: Bacteria; Pseudomonadati; Ignavibacteriota; Ignavibacteria. The record is from RNAcentral.
GCGGGUAUAGCUCAGUUGGUAGAGCGUCAGAUUGUGGCUCUGAAUGUCACGGGUUCGAGCCCCGUUACUCGCCCCA